Molecule: RNA transcript, 2277 nt
Organism: Rosa chinensis
Lineage: Eukaryota; Viridiplantae; Streptophyta; Magnoliopsida; Rosales; Rosaceae
Gene name: luc7-like protein 3
Exons: 10
Source: RefSeq, a predicted model, not a curated record
CACCUGGCACAAUUACCGCCAUCACCGUUUCUGUGUCUCUCUCUCUCUGAUGCUUCUACUCCUUUUGAGCAAACCCUAGGCUCCCUAAAACCAUCGCACCCUACUUCACUACCCAAUUCCUAUAAACCCUUCUCAGUUUCUUCCUCUUCAAUCAGAAUCACAUAGUUUUCAAUUCAAUUUCAAAAUCUUCGUCGCUUCGAAUAGCCAUGGAUGCUCAGCGAGCUCUGCUGGACGAACUCAUGGGCGCAGCUCGGAAUUUGACGGAGGAAGAGAGAAAAGGGUACAAGGAGAUCACUUGGGACUCUAAGGAGGUUUGCGGAGCCUAUAUGGUUCGGUUUUGUCCUCAUGAUCUGUUUGUCAAUACCCGAAGCGAUCUAGGGGCAUGCCCCAGAAUACAUGACUCUAAGCUGAAAGAAAGUUUCGAGAAGUCUCCAAGGCAUGCUGCGUAUGUGCCAAGGUUUGAAGCUGAUCUUGCUCAGUUUUGUGAGAAACUGGUGAUGGAUUUGGAUAGAAGAGUUAAGCGUGGGCGAGAACGCCUUUCUCAGGAGGUGGAACCUCCACCACAACCUCCUCUGUCAGCUGAAAAGUCUGAACAGUUAUCUGUUCUGGAGGAAAAAAUAAAGAACUUAUUGGAACAAGCGGAGGAGCUUGGUGCAUCUGGGAAGGUGGAUGAAGCUGAGGCACUGAUGAGAAAGGUGGAUGUGCUUAAUGUUGAGAAAACAGUCUUGGCUCUACAGCCCCCGAAUGCUCAACCAUUGAUGGUUCCACAGGAGAAAAAAAUGGCACUCUGUGAGAUCUGUGGUUCAUUUCUUGUGGCCAAUGAUGCUUUAGAGAGGACUCAAUCUCAUGUCACUGGGAAGCAGCAUAUUGGUUAUGGCAUGGUCCGGGAUUUUAUUGCUGAGUACAAGGCAGCUAAGGAGAAAGCAAGGGAAGAAGAAAAGUUAGCUAGGGAGAAAGAAGCAGAAGAACGGAGGAAACAGCUGGAGAAGGAAAAUGAGAGUAGAAGGAGAAGUGGUUCAAGUGACAGGGACAGGUAUCGUGAUAGAGAUCGUGACAGAUAUCGAGAACGUGAUUUGGAUCGUGAAAGGUCAAGAGAGUGGACUGGUAGGGGUGGUCGGGAUGGUGGAAGAGGGGUGGAUUGGAGGUCCAGGAAUGGAAGAGAUGCAGGCAGGGAUAGGUACCGUAAUCGAAGCAGGUCACGUUCCCCUGUUAGACAUACCCACAGGAGGUCACCUAGGAGUCCAGUUCGCCCGUAUUAAUGAGUUGUGUAGAUAGAUGUCUGAGCUUUGAAAUUUAUUGAGCUUUUGUUGAGACUAUAUCAACUCCAUUUCAUCAAUAUUAUUAGCGCAGAAAAGGGUUGAGAGUCUCAUAUCCCUUUUUGAUGGGUAAGUUGUUGUUGGCUACUUCUGUGUUAUCACAUACUUAAGACUUCAGACCCAAAUUGUAUGCAUGAUUGACACAGCAGCUGGGGAGAGGAAAAGCUAUUUAAUCAUUGUUGAGGUAACAUAUAUACAUAUAUCCUAUAUUCUCUCCAUCACGAACCCAUAGCUGAUUUCCUCCCUCUUCUUUCUGGUUUUGAGUUUUAACCACUUUAUUGCAAAUGCUGCUCAUUUGGCAUGGUUCAACUAGCGGAAAUGCAAGAUGCCAAUCAUGCAAUGUGAUGAUUUGCUACCUGUUUUUAAGGUAUUUAGGGAUUUUUUAUACAUGCUAGAAACAAUUGGUUUGGUUUUGUCUGGUUUAGUGGUCUUCUAGCUUUCCAGUUGUCAAAACUCACUACUUUGUCCUCUCCUCACCGCCUCUUAGGACAUGGAAAUCUAAUCAUGAAGCGGGUGCUGGUUCAAGCAUUCGUUUUCAGUAAUAGGCAGUUGGAUGAAUAGGCCAACAACGUAUUGAAUGGUAAAUCUGUGAAUUACAUUAUCAUGUGAAUUAGGUAGCUUUGGAGUUCAAGUUCUCGAUCACAAUUUGGUCUAUCUGGAGGGGCUUUCGACAGAAGUUUUGUUUCCAAGGCUGUUUGAUAGGGGAUGUGAAAUGGUAUCAGUGCAUGGAGGGUAAAAUGAGUCGCCUAAUGGAAUUGAAAUUUCUGGUAGUCCAGGAGCCAUUUUCUGAGUGAUAGCCUUUACGUUUUUAUGGUAAUCACCUUUAUCAAUAUACAUUUGAGUCUGUAAUCUCUUCAAUACACAUUUAUCGAGGUGCUCAUGGCACUCUUCUUAUAAGAACAAUGACAUUUAUUUUUUCAAAAGUGAAUGGUACAGUGCUCUCAUACGAAAGUUCACAAAA